This 446-nucleotide ribosomal RNA is filed under the name uncultured bacterium. RNAcentral's name for it is "bacterial SSU rRNA". It matches the Rfam family "Bacterial small subunit ribosomal RNA", at positions 329 to 792 of the family's 1533-position model. The record is from RNAcentral.
AGCCAGACUCCUACGGGAGGCAGCAGUGGGGAAUAUUGCACAAUGGGCGAAAGCCUGAUGCAGCGACGCCGCGUGAAGGAUGAAGUAUUUCGGUAUGUAAACUUCUAUCAGCAGGGAAGAAAAUGACGGUACCUGAUUAAGAAGCCCCGGCUAACUACGUGCCAGCAGCCGCGGUAAUACGUAGGGGGCAAGCGUUAUCCGGAUUUACUGGGUGUAAAGGGAGCGUAGACGGCAUUGCAAGUCCGGAGUGAAAGCCCACGGCCCAACCGUGGGACUGCUCUGGAAACUGUAGAGCUGGAGUGCGGGAGGGGCAGGCGGAAUUCCUAGUGUAGCGGUGAAAUGCGUAGAUAUUAGGAGGAACACCGGCGGCGAAGGCGGCCUGCUGGACCGUAACUGACGUUGAGGCUCGAAAGCGUGGGGAGCAAACAGGAUUAGAUACCCGUGUA